CACGAUUAGCCGGUGCUUAUUCUACAGUACCGUCAACACCCUACACGUAAGGUGGAUUAUUCCUGUAUAAAAGCACUUUACAACCCAUAGGGCCGUCUUCCUGCGCUCGGGAUGGCUGGAUCAGGCUCUCACCCAUUGUCCAAUAUUCCUCACUGCUGCCUCCCGUAGG
This 169-nucleotide ribosomal RNA is filed under the name uncultured bacterium. RNAcentral's name for it is "partial 16S ribosomal RNA". The record is from RNAcentral.